UGGUGAAUUGUUUUGUCAGGUUAAUUCCGAUAACGAACGAGACCAUAAAUAUUUUUAGUAAUAAGACAAAUAGUAGCAAACUAUUUGAAGAUUAUGGCAAUAACA
Molecule: ribosomal RNA, 105 nt
Filed under: uncultured eukaryote
Lineage: Eukaryota
Description: partial 18S ribosomal RNA
Rfam family: Eukaryotic small subunit ribosomal RNA
Source: RNAcentral